This 280-nucleotide long non-coding RNA is filed under the name Lathyrus oleraceus (garden pea). Its description in RNAcentral is "Pisum sativum (pea) long non-coding RNA (PSAT_LNC001586)". Lineage: Eukaryota; Viridiplantae; Streptophyta; Magnoliopsida; Fabales; Fabaceae. The record is from RNAcentral.
AUGUCAUAUAGAAACCCAAAUUUCCCUUCGACUUUCGAAUCAAGCAAUAUCAAUACACAAAUAGAAAGAUGAAGAGCAAGGCAUCAAAUAAAGAUAGCCACAUCCAAGCUUCGCAAUUCCAUGAUUUUCUUCACAAACUCCCAUGUAUCAGAUGAACUCAAGUAUAUGCACUAGGCACAGGUUCAAAAUAACAGCUUCAACAAGAUCAUGUAGAAGAUGAACUCAGAUGGGAUCACAAUACUUGCUUCAGAUGAAGUUUCAAAUCACAAGCACUUGGUUU